Non-coding RNA from Nicotiana tabacum (common tobacco), 540 nucleotides. The record is from RefSeq and is a predicted model, not a curated record. NCBI's taxonomy places the organism in Eukaryota, Viridiplantae, Streptophyta, Magnoliopsida, Solanales, Solanaceae.
GUCAAAAUUUCUUUAUUUAAGUCAAUUUUUAAAACAGAACCCCUGCGUUUUAUCCUCUCCAAAACAGAACCAAAAACCUAGGGAUUUCCUCUCAAACUUCUCCCAUCCAUCUAGCCAAGCAUAACAACAAUUUAGUCAUCCUCAAGAUGGAGAACACCAUGGUAGCUUCGGAAUCGUGAAUUCUUCGGUGUUUCACUUUUCAUAGCAAGACUCCGCCUUGAAGUAAUUUCGAAUUUUGAGUAAUUCUGGUCACAUAAGGAAAUCAUUCCUAAGGCUUUUGAGGUCUUGGAAACAGUAUAUAACUCCAUCGACAAGGUUCGAAUAGACAGAGCGGCGUGCCUCCUCAGUAGGACCCCCGAGAUCAGCGUUUGGUUUCGCACUCCACUUCUUCGGAGUUGCUGACUUUGAGUCCAUAGGUACUAUUACAGAUGUAUAUGUGUGGUUUUGGGCAUGUCGGGGGCUUUGUCCCGCCCUGUUGAGAUUGUCUUACACUCUUAGAGGCUUGCAGACUAGCGGUCAUUGUAUAUAUAUAUUUUUCGU